GACGGAGGGGGCUAGCGUUGUUCGGAAUUACUGGGCGUAAAGAGCGCGUAGGCGGUUUAGUAAGUUGGGAGUGAAAGCCCGGGGCUUAACCUCGGAAUUGCUUUCAAAACUGCUAAUCUAGAGUGUAGUAGGGGAUGAUGGAAUUCCUAGUGUAGAGGUGAAAUUCUUAGAUAUUAGGAGGAACACCGGUGGCGAAGGCGGUCAUCUGGGCUACAACUGACGCUGAUGCGCGAAAGCGUGGGGAGCAAACAGG
RNAcentral lists this ribosomal RNA (253 nucleotides) under uncultured bacterium. Its description in RNAcentral is "partial 16S ribosomal RNA". It matches the Rfam family "Bacterial small subunit ribosomal RNA", at positions 524 to 776 of the family's 1533-position model. The record is from RNAcentral.